CCCCUCGUAACAUAAAUGGAUAGUGUACCUCUCCAGCUAAGAGGGCAGUGUGGGUUCGAAUCCCACCGAGGGGG
RNAcentral lists this transfer RNA (74 nucleotides) under Candidatus Omnitrophota bacterium. RNAcentral describes it as "tRNA-Ala". It matches the Rfam family "tRNA". From Rfam's summary of the family: Transfer RNA (tRNA) molecules are approximately 80 nucleotides in length. Their secondary structure includes four short double-helical elements and three loops (D, anti-codon, and T loops). The record is from RNAcentral. Lineage: Bacteria; Pseudomonadati; Candidatus Omnitrophota.